Molecule: small RNA, 586 nt
Filed under: Pongo abelii (Sumatran orangutan)
Lineage: Eukaryota; Metazoa; Chordata; Mammalia; Primates; Hominidae
Description: retained intron
Source: RNAcentral
CGCCGGGCGGGAGAGGAGCGGAGCAGUGGUCGGAGAUGUGGCGACCGUUGCAGCUUUGCCAUUUCCACUCUGCUCUGCUGCACAGCAGGCAGAAGCCCUGGCCGUCCCCUGCUGCGUUCUUCAGGAGAAACGUCAGGGUCCUUCCUCCAAGGUUCUCGAGCCCCACACCCCUGUGGAGGAAGGUGCUCUCCAGCGCGGUAGUGGGGGUGCCCCUGCUCCUCGGAGCCCGCUAUGUCAUGGCAGAGGCGCGUGAGAAGAGGAGGAUGCGGCUCAUGGUGGAUGGCAUGGGGCGCUUUGGCAGACCUUGCCUCCCCAGGCCUUGGAGACCCACCCUCCUGGUGUCCUCCUCUCUCCCUAGUGGACCUCAGGCUGUAGGUCUCUGAAGGUCGGCCUGCAGAUCUCCCUGGACUACUGGUGGUGCACCAAUGUUGUCCUUCGAGGGGUGGAAGAGGUUUGUCCUGGCGCCCUGGGCAUGAGGUGGUGGGCACGAGUUGGUGGGCUGGGUGGGACUGAGGAGGCAGCCACCUGUCGCCAUGUGUUCUCCCAUGCCUGGUCAGAACAGCCCGGGCUACUUGGAGGUGAUGUC